This 433-nucleotide ribosomal RNA is filed under the name uncultured bacterium. Its description in RNAcentral is "partial 16S ribosomal RNA". It matches the Rfam family "Bacterial small subunit ribosomal RNA", at positions 29 to 507 of the family's 1533-position model. The record is from RNAcentral.
AACGAACGCUGGCGGCAUGCCUAACACAUGCAAGUCGAACGAGACCUUCGGGUCUAGUGGCGCACGGGUGCUUAACGCGUGGGAACCUGCCCUUAGGUUCGGAAUAACUCCCCGAAAGGGGUGCUAAUACCGGAUAAUGUCUUCGGACCAAAGAUUUAUCGCCUUUGGAUGGGCCCGCGUUGGAUUAGCUAGUUGGUAGGGUAAAAGCCUCCCAAGGCGACGAUCCAUAGCUGGUCUGAGAGGAUGAUCAGCCACACUGGGACUGAGACACGGCCCAGACUCCUACGGGAGGAAGCAGUGGGGAAUAUUGGACAAUGGGCGAAAGCCUGAUCCAGCAAUGCCGCGUGAGUGAGGAAGGCCUUAGGGUUGUAAAGCUCUUUUACCCGGGAUGAUAAUGACAGUACCGGGAGAAUAAGCUCCGGCUAACUCCGUG